This 162-nucleotide ribosomal RNA is filed under the name Chaetothyriales sp. RNAcentral's name for it is "partial large subunit ribosomal RNA". It matches the Rfam family "Eukaryotic large subunit ribosomal RNA", at positions 99 to 261 of the family's 3401-position model. Lineage: Eukaryota; Fungi; Ascomycota; Eurotiomycetes; Chaetothyriales. The record is from RNAcentral.
CGGCAACAGCUCAAAUUUGAAAUCUGCCCGCAAGGGCCGAGUUGUAAUUUGUAGAGGAUGUUUCGGACAAGGCUGUGGUUUAAGUUUCUUGGAACAGAACGUCACAGAGGGUGAGAAUCCCGUCUAGAACUGACGGCCGCGUCCAUGUGAAACCCCUUCGAC